This 251-nucleotide ribosomal RNA is filed under the name uncultured bacterium. RNAcentral describes it as "partial 16S ribosomal RNA". It matches the Rfam family "Bacterial small subunit ribosomal RNA", at positions 524 to 776 of the family's 1533-position model. The record is from RNAcentral.
UACGUAGGGUGCGAGCGUUGUCCGGAAUUAUUGGGCGUAAAGAGCUUGUAGGCGGUUUGUCGCGUCUGCCGUGAAAUUUCGAGGCUCAACCUCGAACUUGCGGUGGGUACGGGCAGACUAGAGUGUGGUAGGGAGACUGGAAUUCUGGUGUAGCGGUGAAAUGCGCAGAUAUCAGGAGGAACACCGAUGGCGAAGGCAGGUCUCUGGGCCACUACUGACGCUGAGAAGCGAAAGCAUGGGGAGCGAACAGG